CCGGUAAACGGCGGCCGUAACUAUAACGGUCCUAAGGUAGCGAAAUUCCUUGUCGGGUAAGUUCCGACCUGCACGAAUGGCGUAAUGAUGGCCACGCUGUCUCCACCCGAGACUCAGUGAAAUUGAAAUUGCGGUGAAGAUGCCGUAUACCCGCGGCUAGACGGAAAGACCCCGUGAACCUUUACUACAGCUUGGCACUGAACAUUGACCCUACAUGUGUAGGAUAGGUGGGAGGCUUUGAAGCAUUGUCGCUAG
Molecule: ribosomal RNA, 255 nt
Filed under: Ferrimonas aestuarii
Lineage: Bacteria; Pseudomonadati; Pseudomonadota; Gammaproteobacteria; Alteromonadales; Ferrimonadaceae
Description: Bacterial large subunit ribosomal RNA
Rfam family: Bacterial large subunit ribosomal RNA
Source: Rfam by way of RNAcentral